Molecule: unclassified non-coding RNA, 703 nt
Filed under: Hevea brasiliensis (rubber tree)
Lineage: Eukaryota; Viridiplantae; Streptophyta; Magnoliopsida; Malpighiales; Euphorbiaceae
Source: RNAcentral
GGCUGAGAUAAGUCAAUAGUUGUAGCACGAUAUAUUCUAUUUCCAGAAAUUGUCCACAAGCACACAAUAGCAAAAUAAGUGGGAAAAAAAAAGAGAUAAAUACUGGCAGCUUGUACUGCAUGUAUUGCUGUGUAUCGGGCCUUUCAUUCUCUUGCAGACCUUCCUGAAGGAAUUAAAUUGUCUUGAAUUUUUUGUCAAAAAAAAGGAUUGGAUGUUUACAGAUUCUUUUGUAGUCUUCUCAGUUCAAAGAACCAAGAACCAAAAUAUGUUUAACACAAGUGAAUAAUACUCUCGCCAUUUGCCAAUCCCACUUGUUUACAAUGCACUUCCAGCUAUAGGCAUAUGUGAAAAUUGAUUGUGAAAUGCCCUCCCACCGUAAGGACCUUACACAAUCCAGAAUCAGCAUAUGCCCACAAAAGAUUUGUUGGCCCCUUGUUCCUGUAGACAACUGUGAAUGGGGGAACAGUGAUGGAUGCAUGGAACUAAAAUCUCAGUCACUACAAAACUGCUUAGCCACCUUGUUUAGCCACUUUUCCUGCCGACACUUUUUCUUCUCUUCUAAAAGACAAGAUUACUUAACACAUCCACAUGCUUAGAAAGACGACGCAUCACAAAGCAUAAGCUGGUACCAGAAGAAACAAAAAAGAAUACAUAUUGGCAGGGGGAAGGAUUAUUUUGUUACAUAGAUAAAACAGAAAAAGUG